CGGCAUGCCUUACACAUGCAAGUCGAACGGUAACAGGCCGCAAGGUGCUGACGAGUGGCGAACGGGUGAGUAAUGCAUCGGAACGUGCCCAGUCGUGGGGGAUAACUGCUCGAAAGAGCAGCUAAUACCGCAUACGACCUGAGGGUGAAAGCGGGGGACCGAAAGGCCUCGCGCGAUUGGAGCGGCCGAUGUCAGAUUAGGUAGUUGGUGGGGUAAAGGCCUACCAAGCCGACGAUCUGUAGUUGGUCUGAGAGGACGACCAGCCACACUGGGACUNAAACNCGGCCCANACUCCUACGGGAGGCAGCAGUGGGGAAUUUUGGACAAUGGGGGCAACCCUGAUCCAGCAAUGCCGCGUGCAGGAAGAAGGCCUUCGGGUUGUAAACUGCUUUUGUCAGGGAAGAAAUCCUGUGGGUUAAUACCUCGUGGGGAUGACGGUACCUGAAGAAUAAGCACCGGCUAACUACGUGCCAGCAGCCGNGGUAAUACGUAGGGUGCAAGCGU
Molecule: ribosomal RNA, 504 nt
Filed under: uncultured bacterium
Lineage: Bacteria
Description: bacterial SSU rRNA
Rfam family: Bacterial small subunit ribosomal RNA
Source: RNAcentral